UUUGGAUGAACACUUUGUUAGAAGUGAUAAUAUAAUUAUGAAACAUGCCUCAGCAAUUAGAUGUCCCCUUUCGCUGCCAUCUAAAUCUCAAAUAAAUAAAUGUUGUUGCAGUACUGAUAUUUCUAUUUUCUCACUUAAUCAGUUACCUGGUCAUCAAUUACUCUCAGUCGAAUAUAUUCUUGCCUGUACAUUGAGUCAUACAUCGCUUGUAGGUAUCCUUCAAUGUACAACUGCAGAAGUUGAAACCUUAUCAGUGACCAUUAAAGCAAAAGUAAAACAAAUAGAUUAAUAACUUCAGAAAAAAUCAGCAUCCAUUGAGCAGUGAG
RNAcentral lists this long non-coding RNA (326 nucleotides) under Gossypium raimondii (Peruvian cotton). RNAcentral describes it as "long non-coding RNA (GRAI_LNC009990)". The record is from RNAcentral. Lineage: Eukaryota; Viridiplantae; Streptophyta; Magnoliopsida; Malvales; Malvaceae.